GCAAACUUGGUCAUUUAGAGGAAGUAAAAGUCGUAACAAGGUCUCCGUUGGUGAACCAGCGGAGGGAUCAUUACAGAGUUUAUCCAAACUCCCAAACCCAUGUGAACAUACCUUUUGUUGCCUCGGCAGUGGUGUCUCUUCCCCGUCCGCGGGGAUGGGGGCAGCCUGCCGGUGGACCACACCAAAACUCUUGUUGUUACAGUGUCAUUCUGAAUUUAAAAACUUAAUCAGUUAAAACUUUCAACAACGGAUCUCUUGGUUCUGGCAUCGAUGAAGAACGCAGC
Molecule: unclassified non-coding RNA, 284 nt
Filed under: uncultured fungus
Lineage: Eukaryota; Fungi
Description: partial contains small subunit ribosomal RNA, internal transcribed spacer 1, and 5.8S ribosomal RNA
Rfam family: Eukaryotic small subunit ribosomal RNA (bases 1-73)
Source: RNAcentral